GCACCAUUAGCUCAGUUGGUAGAGCAACUGACUCUUAAUCAGUGGGUCCUGGGUUCGAGUCCCCGAUGGUGCACCA
RNAcentral lists this transfer RNA (76 nucleotides) under Flavobacterium sp. RNAcentral's name for it is "tRNA-Lys". It matches the Rfam family "tRNA". From Rfam's summary of the family: Transfer RNA (tRNA) molecules are approximately 80 nucleotides in length. Their secondary structure includes four short double-helical elements and three loops (D, anti-codon, and T loops). RNAcentral also lists the same sequence under 45 other names. The record is from RNAcentral. Lineage: Bacteria; Pseudomonadati; Bacteroidota; Flavobacteriia; Flavobacteriales; Flavobacteriaceae.